AAGAAAAUUUGUUAGGUCACUGCUAAUGAUCUGCUGUCAGUUAAUUUUGACUUUUCUUU
RNAcentral lists this transfer RNA (59 nucleotides) under Duthiersia expansa. Its description in RNAcentral is "tRNA-Ser". Lineage: Eukaryota; Metazoa; Platyhelminthes; Cestoda; Diphyllobothriidea; Diphyllobothriidae. The record is from RNAcentral.